GACGAACGCUGGCGGCGUGCUUAACACAUGCAAGUCGAACGAAGUGGCGAACGGGUGAGUAACGCGUCAUCAACCUGCCCUUCAGAGGGGGACAACAGUUGGAAACGACUGCUCAUACCGCAUACUGAAGGAGGGGCGUUCGUCUGAUUCGCUAGUUGGAGGGGUAACGGCCCAUCAAGGCGAUGAUCAGUAGACGGUCUGGAGGGAUUGACCGCAACAUUUGGACUGGGACACGGCCCAGACUCCUACGGGAGGCAGCAGUGGGGAAUCUUUCGCAAUGGAGGAAAGUCUGACGGAGCAACGCCGCGGGAGUGAUGACGGCCUUCGGGUUGUAAAGCUCUGUUAAUCGGGACGCGGUACCGGAAUAGAAAGCCACGGCUAACUACGUGCCAGCAGCCGCGGUAAUAC
Molecule: ribosomal RNA, 408 nt
Filed under: uncultured bacterium
Lineage: Bacteria
Description: partial 16S ribosomal RNA
Rfam family: Bacterial small subunit ribosomal RNA
Source: RNAcentral